This is a non-coding RNA of Caenorhabditis elegans, 21 nucleotides long. NCBI's taxonomy places the organism in Eukaryota, Metazoa, Nematoda, Chromadorea, Rhabditida, Rhabditidae. The record is from Ensembl.
UCAAUUGGUUGCAGUCGUAAA